AUUAGAGUUUGAUCAUGGCUCAAAUUGAACGCUGGCGGCAUGCCUUACACAUGCAAGUCGAACGGCAGCACGGGGGCAACCCUGGUGGCGAGUGGCGAACGGGUGAGUAAUACAUCGGAACGUGUCCUGUAGUGGGGGAUAGCCCGGCGAAAGCCGGAUUAAUACCGCAUACGAUCUGUGGAUGAAAGCGGGGGAUCUUCGGACCUCGCGCUACAGGGGCGGCCGAUGGCAGAUUAGCUAGUUGGUGGGGUAAAGGCCUACCUAGGCGACGAUCUGUAGCUGGUCUGAGAGGACGACCAGCCACACUGGGACUGAGACACGGCCCAGACUCCUACGGGAGGCAGCAGUGGGGAAUUUUGGACAAUGGGCGCAAGCCUGAUCCAGCAAUGCCGCGUGUGUGAAGAAGGCCUUCGGGUUGUAAAGCACUUUUGUCCGGAAAGAAAACCUCUUGGUUAAUACCUGAGGGGGAUGACGGUACCGGAAGAAUAAGCACCGGCUAACUACGUGCCAGCAGCCGCGGUAAUACGUAGGGUGCAAGCGUUAAUCGGAAUUACUGGGCGUAAAGCGUGCGCAGGCGGUUCGCUAAGACAGAUGUGAAAUCCCCGGGCUUAACCUGGGAACUGCAUUUGUGACUGGCGGGCUAGAGUAUGGCAGAGGGGGGUAGAAUUCCACGUGUAGCAGUGAAAUGCGUAGAGAUGUGGAGGAAUACCGAUGGCGAAGGCAGCCCCCUGGGCCAAUACUGACGCUCAUGCACGAAAGCGUGGGGAGCAAGCAGGAUUAGAUACCCUGGUAGUCCACGCCCUAAACGAUGUCAACUAGUUGUCGGGUCUUCAUUGACUUGGUAACGUAGCUAACGCGUGAAGUUGACC
Molecule: ribosomal RNA, 869 nt
Filed under: uncultured Burkholderia sp.
Lineage: Bacteria; Pseudomonadati; Pseudomonadota; Betaproteobacteria; Burkholderiales; Burkholderiaceae
Description: bacterial SSU rRNA
Rfam family: Bacterial small subunit ribosomal RNA
Source: RNAcentral